RNAcentral lists this ribosomal RNA (1133 nucleotides) under Bacillus safensis. RNAcentral describes it as "bacterial SSU rRNA". It matches the Rfam family "Bacterial small subunit ribosomal RNA", at positions 39 to 1156 of the family's 1533-position model. The record is from RNAcentral. Lineage: Bacteria; Bacillati; Bacillota; Bacilli; Caryophanales; Bacillaceae.
GGGGAGUGCGCAUGCUAUACAUGCAGUCGAGCGGACAGAAGGGAGCUUGCUCCCGGAUGUUAGCGGCGGACGGGUGAGUAACACGUGGGUAACCUGCCUGUAAGACUGGGAUAACUCCGGGAAACCGGAGCUAAUACCGGAUAGUUCCUUGAACCGCAUGGUUCAAGGAUGAAAGACGGUUUCGGCUGUCACUUACAGAUGGACCCGCGGCGCAUUAGCUAGUUGGUGGGGUAAUGGCUCACCAAGGCGACGAUGCGUAGCCGACCUGAGAGGGUGAUCGGCCACACUGGGACUGAGACACGGCCCAGACUCCUACGGGAGGCAGCAGUAGGGAAUCUUCCGCAAUGGACGAAAGUCUGACGGAGCAACGCCGCGUGAGUGAUGAAGGUUUUCGGAUCGUAAAGCUCUGUUGUUAGGGAAGAACAAGUGCGAGAGUAACUGCUCGCACCUUGACGGUACCUAACCAGAAAGCCACGGCUAACUACGUGCCAGCAGCCGCGGUAAUACGUAGGUGGCAAGCGUUGUCCGGAAUUAUUGGGCGUAAAGGGCUCGCAGGCGGUUUCUUAAGUCUGAUGUGAAAGCCCCCGGCUCAACCGGGGAGGGUCAUUGGAAACUGGGAAACUUGAGUGCAGAAGAGGAGAGUGGAAUUCCACGUGUAGCGGUGAAAUGCGUAGAGAUGUGGAGGAACACCAGUGGCGAAGGCGACUCUCUGGUCUGUAACUGACGCUGAGGAGCGAAAGCGUGGGGAGCGAACAGGAUUAGAUACCCUGGUAGUCCACGCCGUAAACGAUGAGUGCUAAGUGUUAGGGGGUUUCCGCCCCUUAGUGCUGCAGCUAACGCAUUAAGCACUCCGCCUGGGGAGUACGGUCGCAAGACUGAAACUCAAAGGAAUUGACGGGGGCCCGCACAAGCGGUGGAGCAUGUGGUUUAAUUCGAAGCAACGCGAAGAACCUUACCAGGUCUUGACAUCCUCUGACAACCCUAGAAAUAGGGCUUUCCCUUCAGGGACAGAGUGACAGGUGGUGCAUGGUUGUCCUCAGCUCGUGUCCUGAGAUGUUGGGUAAGUCCCCCACUCACCGCACCCUUGAUCUUACUUGCAUCAUUCUGGUGGGCCCUCAAGGGGGCACGCCGGG